UGGUGCAGGCGCGCGCCGCCCAUUGUGCCAACCUGGUGGGCCGCCUGCUGGACAGCCGCCGACCGACCACCAGUGUCCACUACAGCAGGCACGUGACGGCGCUGGCCAAGCGGCUGGCGUCGGUAGACUUGAAGCAGCCGGACCUCUUGCCACCCGAGCUCACCAUGCGUCGCGUCUUCGGCAUAGACCGCGUCGGCGACCUCAUGACGGUGCUGCUGUACGACCGCGGCACGUGUCUGCAGCCGGAGACGAAGCGUGCCAUAUGCCGCGCCUUCCUGGCGGCCUCGCGCCAGGUGAUUGGCUGUCACCAGCGCGCCAACACUGAGUUCGCUAUGACCUACAUGAAGCUGAUGUUCCGCAGCG
Molecule: long non-coding RNA, 363 nt
Organism: Pollicipes pollicipes
Lineage: Eukaryota; Metazoa; Arthropoda; Thecostraca; Pollicipedomorpha; Pollicipedidae
Exons: 3
Source: RefSeq, a predicted model, not a curated record